Molecule: microRNA precursor, 205 nt
Organism: Oryza sativa Japonica Group (Japanese rice)
Lineage: Eukaryota; Viridiplantae; Streptophyta; Magnoliopsida; Poales; Poaceae
Rfam family: MIR812 microRNA precursor family
Source: Rfam
AAAAAGACAAACCCUGGGUUUCCGUGUCCAACUUUAACUGUCCGUCUUAUAUGAAAUUUUUUUAUAAUUUGUAUUUUUAUUGUUGUUAGAUGAUAAAAUAUGAUUAAUACUUUGUACGUGACUUGUCUUUUUAAUUUUUUUUAUAUUUUUUUUAAAUAAGACGGACGGUCAAAUAUUAGACAUAGAAGUCAGGGUUUAUCUUUUU